RNAcentral lists this ribosomal RNA (776 nucleotides) under uncultured Neocallimastigales. RNAcentral's name for it is "partial large subunit ribosomal RNA". It matches the Rfam family "Eukaryotic large subunit ribosomal RNA", at positions 24 to 631 of the family's 3401-position model. The record is from RNAcentral. Lineage: Eukaryota; Fungi; Neocallimastigomycota; Neocallimastigomycetes; Neocallimastigales.
UAUGUGAUCGUCUCUCGCAUAUCAAUAAGCGGAGGAAAAGAAACUAACAAGGAUUCCCCUAGUAACGGCGAGUGAAGCGGGAAGAGCUCAAAUUUGAAAUCUUAAAGGGUUUCCCUUUACGAAUUGUAGUUUAAAGAAGUGUUUUCUGUUGAGGUUUUGGUAAAAGUUCUUUGGAAUAGGACAUCAUAGAGGGUGAGAAUCCCGUAUUUGACCUUUACUUUCAACUUUGUGAUACACUUUCAAAGAGUCGGAUUGUUUGGGAAUGCAGUCCAAAAUGGGUGGUAAAUUUCAUCUAAAGCUAAAUAUUGGCGAGAGACCGAUAGCGAACAAGUACCGUGAGGGAAAGAUGAAAAGAACUUUGAAAAGAGAGUUAAACAGUACGUGAAAUUGAUCAAAAGGGAAGCGUUUGACACCAGUGUUGUUUUUCUGAAAAUCAAUUAAAGAACUGUUUAUGCUAAGUUGUUUAGACUUUAUCAGCUAAUCUGCUUAGUUUUGAGCUUUUCUUUAAUGCACUUUUCAGUUAACAAGUCAACAUCAAUUUCUUUUGCUGUAAAAAAGCUUGAGGAGGGUGGCUUGAGAUUCGUCUUAAGUGUUUAUAGCCUCUUGCCUAUGCAGUCGGAGAGAUUGAGGUCUGCAGCGUAGAUCCUUCGGGGCUAAAUGCAUUUGUGCUAAGUUAUAGCAUUUUAUAGACAACUUGUUGACUAUGAUUUGUCUUGUAGCUUACUCGCUUAUGUUAUUUUACCUACGCUUAGGAUGUUGAUCUACAGAGCGAGAGU